ACUAUGAUUGCCUCAGUAACGGCGAGUGAAGCGGCAUCAGCCCAAGUUGUAAAUCUCCAGCACAUGUGCUGGCGAAUUGUAGUCUGAGGGUUUAGACCAAGCAACGAGAGGACGUACAAGUGUUCAGAAAUCUUCUGCCAUAGAGGGUGAAAGCCCCGUACAUUAUGUCGUCUUGUGUGUCGGUCGAAAACCUAAGAGUCGGGUUCUUUUGAAUUGGAGCCCAAAGUGGGAGAUAAACUUCUUCUAAGGCUAAAUAUAUCUGGGAAACCGAUAGUGUACAAGUACUGUGAAGGAAAGAUGAAAAGAACUUUGAAAAGAGAGUUAAUCAGAUUUGAAAUCGUUGAGAAGGAAGCGGUGAAAACCCAUUAUUUGUUGUGUCCUUUAUCAUGCUGCACUUUCAAUCUGCCUUUAGAGUUCUUUAACGGCUCUGUGGGUGGCAUUGGGGUUAGGCCUGACAUGUUCACACAAUACGCAAAAUGGGCUUGGAUUCUUGUAAACGACUGGGAGGAUACUAAGGUCUUGCCGAUAGGCCUUCUAGAGAAGACUUGAGUCCAGGCUAAGGGUGCUUCGUGCGAUUUUGCGAAAAUGGUUUUGACUGACCCGUCUUGAAACACGGACCAAGGAGUCUAACAUAUAUGCGAGUGUGCUGGUGUUAAACCGAUACGCACAAUGAAAGUGAGUGGUGCCAAGCUUAUGCUGCAGCAUCAACCGACCAUGAUCUUUAGUGAAAGGUUUGAGUAGGAGCAUAUCUGUUAGGACCCGAAAGAUGGUGAACUAUGCCUGAGUAGAGUGAAGCCAGGGGAAACUCUGGUGGAAGCUCGAAGCGAUUCUGACGUGCAAAUCGAUCGUCAAACUUAGGUAUAGGGGCGAAAGACUAAUCGAACCAUCUAGUAGCUGGUUCCCUCCGAAGUUUCCCUCAGGAUAGCUGGGACAAUGAUGCAGUUUUAUCAGGUAAAGCGAAUGAUUAGAGGCAUCGGGGAUGCAACGUCCUCGACCUAUUCUCAAACUUUAAAUUGGUAAGAACUCCACGGUUAUAAUCACCUAAACGAACAUGGAGAUAGAAUGCAUGUCCCGUGUGGGCCAUUUUUGGUAAGCAGAACUGGCGAUGAGGGAUGAACCUAACGUUAAGUUAAGGUGCCCAAAUGUACGCUCAUCAGAUACCAUAAAAGGUGUUGAUUCAUUUAGACAGCAGGACGGUGGCCAUGGAAGUCGGAACCCGCUAAGAAGUGUGUAACAACUUACCUGCCGAAUGAAUUAGCCCUGAAAAUGGAUGGCGCUUAAGCGUGCUACCGAUACUUAACCAUUACUGCAAGUGUGACGCAGUAAUGAGUAGGAGGGCGUGAACGUAGUGUCGAAGCCCUGCAGUGAUGCUCGGUUGAACUGCGUUUAGUGCAGAUCUUGGUGGUAGUAGCAAGUAUUCAAAUGAGAACUUUGAAGGCCGAAGUGGAGAAGGUUUCCAUGAGAACAACAAUUGGUCAUGGGUGACUCGAUCCUAAGGCAUUGGCGAAAGCCUUGCAAUUGCACUUCGGUGUGCAGCCAAAAGGGAAUGAGGUUAAUAUUCCUCAAGCUGGAUGUGGAUGAUAAUGGCAACAUAAGUGAGCUCGAAGACGCCAGCACAAGCCUCUGGAAUAGUUAUCUUUUCUUUUUAACAAGCGUGUGACCUUGAAAUUGGAUUAUCCAGAGCUAAGGUUACUUGUUUGGAAAAGCACCAUAACUUCUGUGGUGUCAGGUGCGCUUGUGAUGGUCCUUGAAAAUUCGAGUGAGAGAUUAUUUCACACCAGAUCGUACCAAUAACCGCAUCAG
This 1803-nucleotide ribosomal RNA is filed under the name Caryotricha minuta. RNAcentral describes it as "LSU rRNA". It matches the Rfam family "Eukaryotic large subunit ribosomal RNA", at positions 68 to 1862 of the family's 3401-position model. The record is from RNAcentral. Lineage: Eukaryota; Ciliophora; Spirotrichea; Kiitrichida; Kiitrichidae.